CCUACGGGCGGCAGCAGUGGGAAAUAUUGGACAAUGGGGGGAACCCUGAUCCAGCCAUGCCGCGUGUGUGAAGAAGGCCCUCGGGUUGUAAAGCACUUUCAGUGAGGAAGAACGCCUGGUGGUUAAUACCCAUCAGGAAAGACUUCACUCACAGAAGAAGCACCGGCUAACUCCGUGCCAGCAGCCGCGGUAAUACGGAGGGUGCGAGCGUUAAUCGGAAUUACUGGGCGUAAAGCGCGCGUAGGUGGCUUGAUAAGCCGGUUGUGAAAGCCCCGGGCUCAACCUGGGAACGGCAUCCGGAACUGUCAAGCUAGAGGGCAGGAGAGGAAGGUAGAAUUCCCGGUGUAGCGGUGAAAUGCGUAGAGAUCGGGAGGAAUACCAGUGGCGAAGGCGGCCUUCUGGACUGACACUGACACUGAGGUGCGAAAGCGUGGGUAGCAAACAGGAUUAGAUACCCUAGUAGUC
RNAcentral lists this ribosomal RNA (465 nucleotides) under Vreelandella stevensii. RNAcentral's name for it is "partial 16S ribosomal RNA". It matches the Rfam family "Bacterial small subunit ribosomal RNA", at positions 338 to 795 of the family's 1533-position model. Lineage: Bacteria; Pseudomonadati; Pseudomonadota; Gammaproteobacteria; Oceanospirillales; Halomonadaceae. The record is from RNAcentral.